Molecule: non-coding RNA, 583 nt
Organism: Pleuronectes platessa (European plaice)
Lineage: Eukaryota; Metazoa; Chordata; Actinopteri; Pleuronectiformes; Pleuronectidae
Source: the annotation of a RefSeq genome assembly
UUCACCAUUAACCAUGUUUCCUGUAGCUGUGCUGCUGCUGUUGGCAGCUGGAUCAUAUGUGAAGUGUGAAACUCUGACGCAGCCAGCCUCUGUGACUGUGCAGCCAGGUCAACCUCUGACCAUCAGAUGCCAGGUCUCUUAUUCUGUUAGCAGCGGCUACCCUACAGCUUGGAUCAGACAGCCUGCAGGAAAAGGACUGGAGUGGAUUGGAAGAAGUGGUGGUGGAUACAGCACAUACUAUAAAGAUUCACUAAAAAACAAGUUCAGUAUUGAAUUAGACACUUCCAGCAACACAGUGAGUCUAAAGGGACAGAACGUGCAGCCUGGAGACACUGCUGUGUAUUACUGUGCCAGAAUCUCCGUCCCAAUCCAAAUAAUUAAUGUGCCGUUUCUAGCAGAGAACCAUGGCCUCAGAGUUAAAGGUUCUGACCGUCAUCCCAGCUGCAAUCCAUCCCAGAACACAUGCAGGUCACAAUCUGAUGAAGCGAACAGAACCAUAUCAUCUGCAAAUAGCAAUGAGGAAGUUCUGAGUCCCCAAAACUUGACACAGUCCUCCCCCUGGCUGCAUCUGAAACUCAUGUGA